UAAAUGUAUAAAAAGGACAAAUUACACAAACAAACAGCAACAAACAGAAGAAGACGAAAACAUUAAAAUAAGUGUAUAAAAAGGACAAAUUACACAAACAAACAGCAACAAACAGAAGAAGACGAAAACAUUAAAAUAAAUGUAUAAAAAGAACAAAUUACACAAACAAACAAUUAUAUAAAGUGAAGCAGUGAUCAAUGUUAAGUUGUUUCUGGAAACUCGUUGUACGAACUACUGACAAAUGGGAUAAACAAAAAGUUAAUCAAAGGAAAAAAGAUAACCUAAUAGUAUAUUGUAACAAAUUAAUGAAUUAAAACAUUAGUUAAUUAGAUGAAGUCAAUAGUAGAAUGAGUUCGAGCGUUAGAAAAAUAAGUAUUGCGUAAAAUAGAAAAGGGCUCACCCUGACACAUACGUCUAAUCGCUUAGAUUUCCAGUCGGUAGAAUGACCUCCGUAACGCGAUUUACACAUCGAAGUUCGGUUGGUAGGGAGUGGGAAGGUCGCUGGAAGGUCAAACGUGCACGAAGGGUUAUGUUUUCAACAACUCGAUAUUAAAUUCGAAGUAAAAAAGGUAAUAACAUGUUAGACUUAAACGCGGGGAGACGCGUAGGAAGUAAACACGAGUGAGCUUAUAUAGUUUAGAGGAAUAAAAUGAAAAUAAAAUAUCGUAAAAUUAUUAUUUGAACUAUAUUUCAUUAAUGAGCAUAGUUCGAUGUAUGAAAGAAAGGGCAAGGAAAAAAAGAAAAGAGAAAAAAAGCAAAAAAAAGAUACGGAAGAGAUUAUCAAAAAAAAAGUCAAGGGGAGUGAAAAGGAAAAAGUAUUUCAUUCCAAUAAUACGUGAUUUGUGUUUCUCGAUGUACGUGACUUUCAUUGAAAACUAAUAAGCAUACAUUUACAUCGAAAAGCUAAAAAUCACUAUAAAUUAUUCUAGAUUAUAAAUAAGUCAAAUUAAAAUUCUUACUAUUUUGAAGCCAUCCCACCAUGUUGUAUAUUAAAUCUUUCACAUUUACGACCAGCUUUCGUCAGUUGCUUCCUCUUUCCAAUGUGACACAGCGUGAAAUGAUAUUUCAAAUAUUUAUUUCAAGAUUUAUCAGCAGAUAUGUUCAGGAACGUGUCAUCUUCUGGCAGUACCCGGCCACCAUCCCGAUUUUCGUUAAAUUUAUUUCGAUAUCCGUCUAUUUACAUAGAAAUACGAUAAAUCGUUAUAAAUUUUGUUAACAUAUUGCGGAGUACUCACUUUAUUACUAUAUAUCUAUUAUUAUUUAUAUCAUAGGACAUAGUUAGAUUGUUUCUGUCUAAAUGAGCAUACGAGAAUUAACCUAAAGCAUUAGAAUAAGCCAAAGGAUACUAAUGACCAUGAUGUAUCUGCAAUAUGUCAAUAACUCUGAGUACAAAACAAUUCAAGUUAACAUUCUCACCAUUUUAAAGUGAUGAAAUGUCGAUGUGUAUUAAAUUCUUCACAUUUAUGGCAACGAAUUGUUUACAGCUGCUUCCACUUUUUAACAUUACUCCCCGCGAAAUGGGGUAAUUUCAAAUCUUAAUUUCUAGUUUUGUCACCAGGGCGCAGAUGCGUUAGACGCGUAUUUAUUACGUUAUUGUGUGUUAAUGGUAUUCUGUUCUAUUAGUACCAUGCUAUUGUAUUUUCUCGAUAUUUAUUUUCAUACAAAAUUCAUGAAACAAAUGAAUUUCUUACGUAAGUUAUUCUACUCUUUUUAUGUAAUAUAGAUUAUGUACUGUAUUAUAAUAAGACAUAUAAGAUUUUGUAUGACAUAAUUUGACAAUAUUUAUGACAUAAUUGACUUAUUAUGCGAUUACUGACUAAAACGAUACAAGUAUUAAUAUUUUUGAAUACUACUAUUUGAAAAAUGAUAGUAACCUAAAAACUAUGCAACUUGUAAGUUAUAACCUAUUGCUAUAUUACUAUAUAUUGCUAUAUACUACUAUAUAUUACUGUAUAUAUAUAUAUAUAUGUAAUAUAAUAUGUAAUAUAUAAAUUAUAUAUAUAUAUAUAUAUAUAUAUCUUUACAAAAUUCUCUUUCCUUUCAUCAUAGAACAUUGUGGAAUAUUUCAAGAUACUGCAGAACGUCACAUAUCACCCAAAACAAAACAAAAGACAUCAUACAAGAUUUCUAAAAGUUGACAUAUUUCUUUAAAGUAAAUUUUGGUGGAUCUUUUUGAUCCUUUUGUUGGUCCUUUUGUUUCUUUUUUGCUGGUUUUCUUGCUCAUUUUGUUGCGAUUUUGGUCUCUUUACUGCUGUGUUGGAGUUAUCUAUAAACUAUGUUGCAAUUUUCUCAGGUGGAAAUAUUUGUAAGUAUAAAAUCUAUUCAAUAUUCUAUUUAUAACUUCAUAGAAGACUUUAUUUUCAAUUCAUAUAACUACUAUAUUGAAUCAAUACCAUCAUUUAUGGCACCAAAAUGGCAAGGUAGUCACAUGACCUGCAAAAUGUAGAACACAAAAAAGCGUUACAUGUAAUAUCCACUCUGUACUUUAUCUGUCAUUAUAUGAUACAAUAUUUGAAGGUAAUAUUGGAAUAAUAUUGAGAACAGUGAAUCAGUCCAUCAGUGAAUAGAGAAAUAUUAUAAUUUGUUUUGGUAAUAGAAGAAAGUUUAAAGAAAAUUAAGGGAAGAAUCGAUUAAUUAACUUACUAAUAAUUCAGCUAUAAAAAAUAUUAAAUUUGUCACCGAAUAUCUCAAUGUUGUACUUUGCUUUGGCAAUAAAAAGGAGUUUCAGAAAGUUAAGAAAAAAUCAAUUAGAGUCGACUACAGAAUGAAGUAGAUUUAUAUAGAUUUCAUAAAUUUGUAUAAAUUACAUAAGAAGGAACAGGACAAGAAAGAACACAGAGAACGAGUGAGAGGAUCAGGAUAGCGGUAAAUGAACAAGUGAUUGACCCAACAGCAUAUAACACGUCAGGGUCGUUAACACUAAGGAUCUCUCACUUUGCCGGCGAGUGGAAAUAAAGAAAAGAGGAUGAUGAGUAGCUUAUUUCUAAGAAACGUAUAUGCGAACAGGGCGUAUUGGACGAGAGGUAUUGACGCGCGCAGUUGAGAAUAUAUACACAUUGAACGAUUGCGUUAUUCAUUGUUGAAGCUUGUAUUAUUUUCUUCAAUAUUUAGUUCAUCAUCACUGUCACUAUCACUAGAAGUAUUGAAACAUCUGAACAGUACCGUUUGUUGAACGGAGAUUGUUUCUACUGUCUGAAGCACUGUCAUCAUCUUCUAUCUUGUCAGGUUCAAAAUAAUAUUUGUCAUCACUACUAUCACUAUUGAACAUGUCCUUUCUAGAUCUUUUAAGCAUCGUGCAUAAGGUAUUAUAAAAAGUAUAUAAAAUAUAUAAAAAGCUUGCUGACUCGUCUGGCAAUGCCAUUGAAAGGUUGAAACUCGUUCUGACUCGACCAUCAUCCUGCAUUGCGAGUUUACGUUAAACGGAAGAUAAGAUUUCUAAAGAUCUAUAAUUUUCUUUCAUCAGAAACAUAAUACUGUUUAGUUUACUAUACCCAUGCGUACAUACACAUAAGAUUAUCACUUAGAAAAAUAGACGUACGCCAACUACUUCAAAAUAACUCUCCGGAACUGUGAACAAAUUCGGGUGGCUAUAUGCCGACACGCAGCCGCAACGGUAAAAAGACUUGAGUAGCUAUUUGCAGACACUCGUCAGCAAAGCAUUGAACUUACUCUUAAUUAUACUCUAUUUGUUCUAUACUUAUUUACUUAUAACGUUAAAAUGAUCAAGGAAGUGAUUAUGAUUUUUAAUUACCAGCAAACUACCAGUGGCUGAAAAAUAUUCUCCUACAAGAAGGUAAUUAGCCACAUAAUUAGAUAUAAUUAGAAUUAAGGUACCUGGUCCUUAAGGUCUCAAGAAUGUAUACAUGAAACAAAGCAUAUACGAAGGCAAGAUUCUCUGCUACAUCCUGCGGUAAAAUUCGAAGAGAAUACUGGUUUCUAGGAACUUGCGAACAUAGUGGAUUGCUAUAUGAUUAAUUUUGUUAAUAUCAUAGUAAAAUAUAUCUCUUUUAAUUCUACACUGAAAGUCAAUUACGUCCAUAAGCUGGUACUACGAGAAUCUAGAAACUAUGAAGGAUAUUUCGAUAAAAAAUAUUCUCUCAUUUAACUUAUUUAUGAAUUUACGCGUUCGUCUAAUAUUCAGGUACACUUCAAUUGCAACACACAUAACGAUGACAUCUUUCCGUUAAUAAUUAUUAGACACGAGGAAAACUACAGCGUAAUAUCGACAUCGUGUUUAUUAAAAUUAUCAAGAUCACUUUCGUAAUUAUGUAAUGGGCAGUUUUGAAGUCGCUUGAUGUUCCAAACUGGUUGAAAGCUGAAAAUGAUACAACGAUCCGAGUAAAAGUCACUCGAUGAAUACGAAAUCACUCGAAACCAAGUUGUUUUCGUGAGCGAAAUCGAAAACAGGAAGGUACGAACGACGAAUGCCGGGUAACGCGACCAAUUUUUCCUGGGAAUGUUUAUUUUUUGAAAAUAAAUACAAACACGUUUGUUCAAAUCAAUUUUUAUUUCUCUCGCAUUAUAAAAUUACAUGUUCGUCGUCUCGAGAUUACUUUCUUUUUUUUUUUUUUUGUUUUCGCUUGCAUUG
Bombus huntii is the source of this 4588-nucleotide long non-coding RNA. RefSeq lists it as uncharacterized. The record is from RefSeq and is a predicted model, not a curated record. The transcript is spliced from 2 exons. NCBI's taxonomy places the organism in Eukaryota, Metazoa, Arthropoda, Insecta, Hymenoptera, Apidae.